UAAAUACAUUUGAAAAUUGGUGCCUAUUAUAGGUUAAAAGGGAAUCAGGAACAAGCCUGAGCGGUCCCGCCACUGUAACCAGCUACAAACCGUGUCAUAACCACUGAGAAUUCGGGAAGGGAUGCGGGGAGGAUUAUCUGGGAGCCAGGAAACCUGCCUGUUUUUAGAUUUUGAA
RNAcentral lists this non-coding RNA (175 nucleotides) under Desulfobacter sp. Lineage: Bacteria; Pseudomonadati; Thermodesulfobacteriota; Desulfobacteria; Desulfobacterales; Desulfobacteraceae. The record is from RNAcentral.